This 1325-nucleotide ribosomal RNA is filed under the name metagenome. Its description in RNAcentral is "bacterial LSU rRNA". It matches the Rfam family "Bacterial large subunit ribosomal RNA", at positions 1561 to 2925 of the family's 2925-position model. The record is from RNAcentral.
AGUGGAUGGGGAGCAACCUAGUUGUGCGUGUGUAAAGGUAGUGCCAAGAAAAGCGAUGAUCAUGUUGAAAAUCAAUUCCCGGUACCCGAAACCGACACAGAUGGGCAAGUAGAGAAUACUAAGGGGCGCGAGGUAACUCUCUCCAAGGAACUCGGCAAAAUGACCCCGUAACUUAGGGAGAAGGGGUGCCACCGAGAGGUGGUCGCAGUGAAGAGGCCCAGGCGACUGUUUAGCAAAAACAUAGGUCUCUGCAAACUCGAAAGAGGAGGUAUAGGGGCUGACGCCUGCCCAGUGCCGGAAGGUUAAAGAAGUUGGUCAGUUUUAGGAUGAAGCUAGCGACUGAAGCCCCGGUGAACGGCGGCCGUAACUAUAACGGUCCUAAGGUAGCGAAAUUCCUUGUCGGGUAAGUUCCGACCCGCACGAAAGGCGUAACGAUCUGGGCGCUGUCUCGGAGAGAGGCUCGGCGAAAUAGGAUUGUCUGUGAAGAUACGGACUACCUGCAUUUGGACAGAAAGACCCUAUGAAGCUUUACUAUAGCUUGGAAUUGUGUUCGGGCUUCCUGUGCGCAGGAUAGGUGGGAGGCGUAGAAGGUAUUCUUGUGGGGAUACUGGAGCCAACGGUGAGAUACCACUCUCAGGAGGCUAGAAUUCUAACUUAAUUAAGGACAGUUUCAGGUGGGUAGUUUGACUGGGGCGGUCGCCUCCAAAAAGGUAACGGAGGCGUACAAAGGUUCCCUCAGACUGGUUGGAAAUCAGUCGAAGAGUGCAAAGGCAGAAGGGAGCUUGACUGCGAGAAGUACAGUUCGAGCAGGGUGGAAACACGGUCUUAGUGAUCCGACGGUGCUGUGUGGAAGGGCCGUCGCUCAACGGAUAAAAGUUACUCUAGGAUAACAGGCUGAUCUCCCCCAAGAGUUCACAUCGACGGGGAGGUUUGGCACCUCGAUGUCGGCUCAUCGCAACCUGGGGCGGAAGUACGUCCCAAGGGUUGGGCUGUUCGCCCAUUAAAGCGGUACGUGAGCUGGGUUCAGAACGUCGUGAGACAGUUCGGUCCAUAUCCGAUGUAGGCGUGAGAAUAUUGAGAGGAGCCUUCCUUAGUACGAGAGGACCGGGAAGGACGCACCGCUGGUGUACCUGUUAUGAUGCCAAUUGUAAACGCAGGGUAGCCAAGUGCGGAGAGGAUAACCGCUGAAAGCAUCUAAGUGGGAAGCCCACCUCAAGAUGAGUAUUCUGGUGUAAGGUCACGGGAAGACGACCCGUAAAUAGGCACGAGGUGGAAGUGCAGAGAUGUAUGAAGCCGAAGUGUACUAAUAGACCGUCGGCUUGAUC